UCUCCGUUGGUGAACCAGCGGAGGGAUCAUUACUGAGUUACCGCUCUACAACCCUUUGUGAACAUACCUAACUGUUGCUUCGGCGGGCAGAGGCCCCUCGCGGAUCUCUCCCGGCAACGCCCUCACGGGCGGAGCGCCCGCCGGAGGAUACCAAACUCUAUUUUAACGACGUUUCUUCUGAGUGGCACAAGCAAAUAAUUAAAACUUUUAACAACGGAUCUCUUGGUUCUG
Molecule: unclassified non-coding RNA, 231 nt
Filed under: plant metagenome
Description: partial contains small subunit ribosomal RNA, internal transcribed spacer 1, and 5.8S ribosomal RNA
Source: RNAcentral